AUUGAACGCUGGCGGCAGGCCUAACACAUGCAAGUCGAACGAGUGGCGGACGGGUGAGCAAUGUCUGGGAAACUGCCCGACGGAGGGGGAUAACUACUGGAAACGGUAGCUAAUACCGCAUACCAGCGGAUGUGCCCAGAUUGGAUUCGCUAGUAGGUGGGGUAACGGCUAACCUAGGCGACGAUCCCUACCUGGUCUGAGCGGAUGACCAGGCACACUGGAACGGGGACACGGUCCAGGCUCCUACGGCAGGCACCAGUGGGGAAUAUUGAACAAUGGGCGCAAGCCUGAUGCAGCGAUGCCGCGUGUGUGAAGAAGGCCUUCGGAUUGUAAAGGACUUUCAGCGGGGAGGCGUUACUCGCAGAAGAAGCACCGGCUAACUCCGUGCCAGCAGCCGCGGUAAUAC
Molecule: ribosomal RNA, 406 nt
Filed under: uncultured bacterium
Lineage: Bacteria
Description: partial 16S ribosomal RNA
Rfam family: Bacterial small subunit ribosomal RNA
Source: RNAcentral